RNAcentral lists this long non-coding RNA (1721 nucleotides) under Homo sapiens (human). RNAcentral describes it as "HSALNT0069746". Lineage: Eukaryota; Metazoa; Chordata; Mammalia; Primates; Hominidae. The record is from RNAcentral.
CGGCCUUUAUGUUUAAUAUCUCAUUUAAUCCACACAGUGAGCCUAUGAGGUAGGGACAACUGUAAUUCAAUUUUAUACAAAAGGAAAAUGAGACUCACAGUAAGCCAUCCCAGGUUUCACAGCUAGUUGGUGGCAGAGCCAGGAUUGUCCCUGACAUGUGUGCCUGAGAUUCCUGGAGCCCUGGCCUGUGAGCCCGAGACCCCUGGAGCCCUGGCCUGUGUGCCUGAGAGCCUGGAGCCCUGGCCUGUGAAUCUGAGAGCCCUGGAGCCCUGGCCUGUGAGCCUGAGAUUCCCGGAGCCGUGGCCUGUGAGCCCGAGAACCCUGGAGCCCUGGCCCUCAGCUUGUCUCUGGUUUCUACAUGCAGACCCUGCAGUUGGCCAGGCCCUCCUCAGUACACUAUUGGGUGUAUACCUAGCAGCAGGGCCUGCUGUGCCUGCAUCCUCUCACGCUCCUCCUGCAGCUCUUGCCUGGCCUUUUCCUCCAAGGCCUGGAGCUCCAGUCGGUGUGUCUGGUGUUGGAUCUGGAGGCUGUGGCUGGAUUCCUUCUUCAAGCGUUCCUCUGUGGCCUGUGGGAAAAAGUGGGAACAAGAAGGCAUGAAAGUGGGCAUGAGGGUGGGAGACCUGACUCCUUUGCCAAGCUCUUCUGAGCCAGGAUGCUCUGAACACUCGCACUCUCCCAUGGAGGGCUUAUCAGGCUACAGAGAAUGCUGUAGCAAUGGCCUGGCCACAGCAGCCAUUUUGCACCAGGUGAACCACCUCCUUCCACAGCUGAUUGGGCCAGAGUGGACACCUGUUCUAACCUGGGCCAAUCAAAGUUCCUUUAAUGUAAAUUUGACAUGAAGAGGUGGGAGAUAGAGCAAAAGAGACUGACAGACAGAUACUGACUCUGUGGCUCCAAAUUUACCAUACUCAGGAGCACUAAGGUAACUAUCUGACAUCUGCCCCAGGACUAGUGUGGUGAUGGCUGCUGUCUGUGGAGGAAGCCCAGGGCUGGUGUGCACAGCAGAGCAGAAUGACAUAGGGAAGGGUGAGGGGUCCCUACAGCUUUUCAGUCCAUGCUCUUGUUUGGUCCUGAGAACUGUCUGUGUCUCUGUCCUUGGGUUCAUAUUCAUUCAUUCUUUUUUUCCCUACUUUUUAUUUUUGGUUCAUUCACGCUUUCACUCAACAAACAUUUAUUUACUGAAGUCCCACUGUGUGUCAAACACCCAAAGCAAGUUCUGUGAGCAGCUGGGUAAACUUUAAUAAGUGUCUCUUCACUGCCUGCCUAACUUCACUCAAGCUGGUUUCUGUGAGAGGCACAAAAACAACCCCUAAGAUGUCCAUGUCUGAAAACUGAGUAUGUUACCUUACAUGGUCAAAGGGACUUUGCAGAUGUGAUUAAGGAUCUUAGAUGGGAGAUUAUCCUGAAAUAUCUGGGUGGGCCUCAAUCACAAGGGUCCUUAUAAGAGGGCCGUAGGAGGCUCAGUGAGAAAAGAGUUGAUGGUGGAAGCAGAGGUCAGAGAGGGAGGGGGAGGGGGAUUUGAAGCUGCUACACUUUUGGCUUUGAUAAUGCAGGAAGGGACCAGAAGCCACGGAACUCAGGCGGCCUCUAGAAGGUGGAAAAGGCAAGGACACAGAUUCUCCUCUGGAGUCUUUAGAAGGAACCAGCCCUGCCAAUUCCUUGAUUUUUGGAUUUCUGACCUCUAGAAUUGUCAGAUAAUAAAUCUGUGUUGUUUUAAGCCA